This 94-nucleotide small nuclear RNA is filed under the name Nannospalax galili (Upper Galilee mountains blind mole rat). The record is from RNAcentral. Lineage: Eukaryota; Metazoa; Chordata; Mammalia; Rodentia; Spalacidae.
GUGCUCAUUUUAACAGCACGUAUAUUAAAACUGAAACAAUACAAAGAAGAUUAGCAUGGCCCCUGUGCAAAUUCAUGAAAUAGUCUAUAUUUUU